RNAcentral lists this transfer RNA (96 nucleotides) under Streptomyces clavuligerus. RNAcentral's name for it is "tRNA-Arg". Lineage: Bacteria; Bacillati; Actinomycetota; Actinomycetes; Kitasatosporales; Streptomycetaceae. The record is from RNAcentral.
CCGGACCCGCGGGGAGGCGACCUGCCCUGAUGCCCACGACGACCGACCCCACCAGUACCCGCAACACCGGCGCGCACACCGUUCUCCACGACCCCA